RNAcentral lists this ribosomal RNA (252 nucleotides) under uncultured bacterium. RNAcentral's name for it is "partial 16S ribosomal RNA". It matches the Rfam family "Bacterial small subunit ribosomal RNA", at positions 525 to 776 of the family's 1533-position model. The record is from RNAcentral.
ACGGAGGGUGCAAGCGUUGUCCGGAUUUAUUGGGUUUAAAGGGUGCGUAGGCGGCCUUAUAAGUCAGUGGUGAAAGUCUUCGGCUCAACCGGAGGACUGCCAUUGAAACUGUAGGGCUUGAGUACAGUAGAGGUAGGCGGAAUUUAUGAUGUAGCGGUGAAAUGCAUAGAUAUCAUAAAGAACACCGAUAGCGAAGGCAGCUUACUAUGCUGUUACAGACGCUGAGGCACGAAAGCGUGGGGAGCGAACAGG